AUUAUAAAUUGACUCAAGACCGAGUCGAGUGGCAUAGUUGGCUAAGGUAAAUGUAACCUUAGGAAAGAGUGAUAAUUGAGAAAGACUUGUUAAUGUUAUAAAGAAUGGCAAAUGUGUAUGAUGAGCCUAAGGUGCGAGUGCCCUUAGCAAAGAAUAAAGAAUAAAGAAUAAAGAAUAAAGAAUGAAGAAUAAAGAAUAAAGAAUAAAGAAUAAAGAGUAAAGAAUGGCUAAUGAUAAAGAAUAGCAAAUUCUAAAAAAAGG
Molecule: long non-coding RNA, 261 nt
Filed under: Ananas comosus (pineapple)
Lineage: Eukaryota; Viridiplantae; Streptophyta; Magnoliopsida; Poales; Bromeliaceae
Description: long non-coding RNA (ACOM_LNC029055)
Source: RNAcentral